GGGUUGUGAGGUUAAGCGACUAAGCGUACACGGUGGAUGCCCUGGCAGUCAGAGGCGAUGAAGGACGUGCUAAUCUGCGAUAAGCGUCGGUAAGGUGAUAUGAACCGUUAUAACCGGCGAUUUCCGAAUGGGGAAACCCAGUGUGAUUCGUCACACUAUCAUUAACUGAAUCCAUAGGUUAAUGAGGCGAACCGGGGGAACUGAAACAUCUAAGUACCCCGAGGAAAAGAAAUCAACCGAGAUUCCCCCAGUAGCGGCGAGCGAACGGGGAGGAGCCCAGAGCCUGAAUCAGUGUGUGUGUUAGUGGAAGCGUCUGGAAAGGCGCGCGAUACAGGGUGACAGCCCCGUACACAAAAAUGCACAUGCUGUGAGCUCGAUGA
This 380-nucleotide ribosomal RNA is filed under the name Escherichia coli. RNAcentral describes it as "partial 23S ribosomal RNA". It matches the Rfam family "Bacterial large subunit ribosomal RNA", at positions 1 to 411 of the family's 2925-position model. The record is from RNAcentral. Lineage: Bacteria; Pseudomonadati; Pseudomonadota; Gammaproteobacteria; Enterobacterales; Enterobacteriaceae.